AAUUUUUCAAAAAAAAGUUGAAUGUUUUUUUCAAAUGCACUAAUGCUUUCUUUAAUUUUAUGGCAGGUAAUAUGUUGAAUAGAUCUUUUUUUCAGAAGUAUGAAUUUCUUAAUAUUUUUUUUCAGUUUCCGGCAAGUGAACUUUUUUUAUUUGUCUUUAUUAUUUCUCCUGGUACCCUUAUUAUAAAUAGGUGUGUCUCUCCAUAUUGCACAGACUACUAUUCUUGACGUAGUGGUCAGCACAUGGGUGCACACUGUGCGCCCAUUUACUGCGUUUGAACCUGUCAGCGUGCCGUUUUUUCUAUCUUAUUACGAUUUCAUCCCAGCCCUUUGUGUCUUAUUAAGGUGUGUUUGGUUCCUGUCAUCGAUUAGAAUGUAAUGGGUCGAUUCCGUCUCCGAAGCCCAUUCUCAUGUUUGGAUUGUCGAGGGAACCGGAACCCACCGAUUCCAGAGAACCGCAUGUUCCCUCUUUAUGCAGAAUCGAGCAGUACCUCCAAAUUGAGCAGACCGCGUGGAACGGCUCGCACUUCCCCUUCCCCGACUUCCACUCACGCAACCCGCACCGCUGCGCCAACAACCCGCGUCGCCGUCGAGGUCGCGUCCGCCUCUUCCUAGACUCCUCCGGGGUGCGUCGUGCCCUACCUCACAGUCCUCCUCCGUCGGGGACACGACAAGGCCGCCUCUGCCUGCUGCUUCUCCCAGAGUCCCCCGUCCUUCUCUCGGCGCUCCCCUUCGUCCGCAGCGCCCCAACAUGGCGACCACAGAUCUAACAGGUUGACGUGCUUGGCAUUGGUUCUUCCGGGGGUCACCAAAGUGCUCUCUCUUCUCCUUAACUGCUAUGCCAUGUCACCAUGUCAUUUCUUUGCUUAUGUGACAUGCUUAGCACUUGUACACCGUGGAGCAAGCACUGACGCAUAUAUCAUGUGCUGGAAUUGAGAAAUUAAUUCUGUAUCUAAUUUCGUGACAUCCAAUCAAGUUGGGGUCAGAAUUCAGAAAUGAAAUGCAUGAAUUCCAACCCAAAUGACCGGAGCCAAACAAGUUUUAUCAUAGCAGCACUAGCUCCUCGCACCAUCGUUUAGGCAGUGAUUGCCCCCACUCAAGCUUGACUGCCGUCGUAUCUUCGAUCAAGCGUGCCUCUGCCCCCACAACAAUUUCAUUUGUCCCAGCAUAAGCAAAUGCUUUUCCUACAUUCCCACAAUGUCCGUGAGUUCCAAGUCCUAGGGGCUGUUUGGUUGCAACCCUGAGCAACAUGCCUGAGUUUUUCUCCUGCCUGAAGGUGACCUGAAAUUGCAUCAGAAAUUGACUGAUCCGGCACAUCUCUCAUUCAAAGCAGUGUUUGGUUGAUAGCUUGAAACCACGCCUGAACCAGGCAGUGUUUGCCUCAUGAUUGGCCUGAGCUGCAUUCAAAGCAAUAUUUUAUAUGGAGUGACUCAGGCAGCAAACAGCGGAGAGUAGCCAUGCUCAGGCGUCCAAUUCCUUAGGCCUGACACAGGCAGCUUUGCACAGGCAAGAAUCUUCAGGCUAAAAUCUCAGGACAUCAACCAAACAGACCUCAGGCAGCAUGCAGGCAAAAGCUCCGGCCAGGCAAUCGGGCUAAGGGUAGCAACCAAACAGCCCCCUAGUGCAAAACCUACGAACCUCGUCACUCUACCUUCAUCAGCUAUGUUACAUUUUACGAUUUCUCGCCGGCAGCCAAACAGUGGGAGAGCAUAAAGACCACAUAACAUCAUGAAUCGAUGUAUACACGCUUCUAAGUUGAAAGGUUGCAGUGUCAGGCAUUCAAGCAAAAUACUGAUAUGGAAAAACAGCCCAAUGGAUAAAGCUGAAAGACAAGGUUAUGUACCAUAAAAGGCAUCACAAGAAUGCAAAACCAUCGACACAAAAUCGAUGGGAGUAUACUGCGAAGAACUUGUACUCGAUUCGCUGAAAAUGUUUUUAAUCACAAUGCAUGCACUUCCAGUUUGAAGUUGCUUAUGACAGGACACGGAGGAACAUAACAGUGGACUAGACAGUCCGUUGCUGCCUUCCGACACAAAAUAAA
Long non-coding RNA from Aegilops tauschii subsp. strangulata, 2040 nucleotides. RefSeq lists it as uncharacterized. The record is from RefSeq and is a predicted model, not a curated record. Lineage: Eukaryota; Viridiplantae; Streptophyta; Magnoliopsida; Poales; Poaceae.